GACGAACGCUGGCGGCGUGCCUAAUACAUGCAAGUAGAACGCUGAAGGAGGAGCUUGCUUCUCCGGAUGAGUUGCGAACGGGUGAGUAACGCGUAGGUAACCUGCCUGGUAGCGGGGGAUAACUAUUGGAAACGAUAGCUAAUACCGCAUAACAGUAGAUAUCGCAUGAUAUCUGCUUGAAAGGUGCAAUUGCAUCACUACCAGAUGGACCUGCGUUGUAUUAGCUAGUUGGUGAGGUAACGGCUCACCAAGGCGACGAUACAUAGCCGACCUGAGAGGGUGAUCGGCCACACUGGGACUGAGACACGGCCCAGACUCCUACGGGAGGCAGCAGAAGGGAAUCUUCGGCAAUGGACGGAAGUCGGACCGAGCAACGCCGCGUGAGUGAAGAAGGUUUUCGGAUCGUAAAGCUCUGUUGUAAGGGAAGAACGAGUGUGAGAGUGGAAAGUUAAAACGGUGACGGUAUCGUACCAGAAAGGGACGGCUAACUACGU
This 494-nucleotide ribosomal RNA is filed under the name uncultured bacterium. RNAcentral describes it as "partial 16S ribosomal RNA". It matches the Rfam family "Bacterial small subunit ribosomal RNA", at positions 28 to 506 of the family's 1533-position model. The record is from RNAcentral.